Molecule: ribosomal RNA, 253 nt
Filed under: uncultured bacterium
Lineage: Bacteria
Description: partial 16S ribosomal RNA
Rfam family: Bacterial small subunit ribosomal RNA
Source: RNAcentral
UACGGAGGGUGCGAGCGUUAAUCGGAAUUACUGGGCGUAAAGCGCACGUAGGCGGUUUGAUAAGUCGGAUGUGAAAGCCCUGGGCUUAACCUGGGAACUGCAUUCGAUACUGUCUGACUAGAGUAUGGGAGAGGGAAGCGGAAUUUCCGGUGUAGCGGUGAAAUGCGUAGAUAUCGGAAGGAACACCAAUGGCGAAGGCAGCUUCCUGGCCCAAUACUGACGCUCAGGUGCGAAAGCGUGGGGAUCAAACAGG